CGAAAGCCUGACGGAGCAAUACCGCGUGAGGGAGGAAGGCUUUUGGGUUGUAAACCUCUUUUAUUAAGGAAGAAGCAAGUGACGGUACUUAAAGAAUAAGCAUCGGCUAACUCCGUGCCAGCAGCCGCGGUAAUACGGAGGAUGCAAGCGUUAUCCGGAAUUAUUGGGCGUAAAGCGUCCGCAGGUGGUGUUUCAAGUCUGCUGUCAAAGACCGAAGCUUAACUUCGGGUAGGCGGUGGAAACUGAAACACUAGAGUACGGUAGGGGUGGAGGGAAUUUCCAGUGUAGCGGUGAAAUGCGUAGAUAUUGGGAAGAACACCAGUGGCGAAGGCGCUCAACUGGGCCGUAACUGACACUCAGGGACGAAAGCUAGGGGAGCG
Molecule: ribosomal RNA, 380 nt
Filed under: uncultured cyanobacterium
Lineage: Bacteria; Bacillati; Cyanobacteriota
Description: bacterial SSU rRNA
Rfam family: Bacterial small subunit ribosomal RNA
Source: RNAcentral